AAUAAUUUAGUUUAGCUAAAACACUUGAUUGUCAAUCAAGAAAACCACCCAAAAGUAGUAAUUAUU
RNAcentral lists this transfer RNA (66 nucleotides) under Xenoturbella hollandorum. RNAcentral's name for it is "tRNA-Asp". It matches the Rfam family "tRNA". Rfam says of the family: Transfer RNA (tRNA) molecules are approximately 80 nucleotides in length. Their secondary structure includes four short double-helical elements and three loops (D, anti-codon, and T loops). Lineage: Eukaryota; Metazoa; Xenacoelomorpha; Xenoturbellidae. The record is from RNAcentral.